RNAcentral lists this ribosomal RNA (742 nucleotides) under Salmonella enterica subsp. enterica. Its description in RNAcentral is "partial 23S ribosomal RNA". It matches the Rfam family "Bacterial large subunit ribosomal RNA", at positions 1 to 783 of the family's 2925-position model. The record is from RNAcentral. Lineage: Bacteria; Pseudomonadati; Pseudomonadota; Gammaproteobacteria; Enterobacterales; Enterobacteriaceae.
GGUUAAGCGACUAAGCGUACACGGUGGAUGCCCUGGCAGUCAGAGGCGAUGAAGGGCGUGCUAAUCUGCGAUAAGCGCCGGUAAGGUGAUAUGAACCGUUAUAACCGGCGAUACCCGAAUGGGGAAACCCAGUGUGAUUCGUCACACUAUCAUUAACUGAAUCCAUAGGUUAAUGAGGCGAACCGGGGGAACUGAAACAUCUAAGUACCCCGAGGAAAAGAAAUCAACCGAGAUUCCCCCAGUAGCGGCGAGCGAACGGGGAGGAGCCCAGAGCCUGAAUCAGCAUGUGUGUUAGUGGAAGCGUCUGGAAAGGCGCGCGAUACAGGGUGACAGCCCCGUACACAAAAGCGCAUGUGCUGUGAGCUCGAUGAGUAGGGCGGGACACGUGGUAUCCUGUCUGAAUAUGGGGGGACCAUCCUCCAAGGCUAAAUACUCCUGACUGACCGAUAGUGAACCAGUACCGUGAGGGAAAGGCGAAAAGAACCCCGGCGAGGGGAGUGAAAAAGAACCUGAAACCGUGUACGUACAAGCAGUGGGAGCACAGGUUUACCUGUGUGACUGCGUACCUUUUGUAUAAUGGGUCAGCGACUUAUAUUCUGUAGCAAGGUUAACCGAAUAGGGGAGCCGGAGGGAAACCGAGUCUUAAUUGGGCGUUAAGUUGCAGGGUAUAGACCCGAAACCCGGUGAUCUAGCCAUGGGCAGGUUGAAGGUUGGGUAACACUAACUGGAGGACCGAACCGAC